Molecule: long non-coding RNA, 486 nt
Organism: Gavialis gangeticus (Gharial)
Lineage: Eukaryota; Metazoa; Chordata; Crocodylia; Gavialidae
Exons: 3
Source: RefSeq, a predicted model, not a curated record
GAGCGAGGGACUGGCUGCCAGGGACUGGGGAUCACCUCGGUCCCUUCUCCCCCAGAGCUUCUGCUGCCCAGGCCCCUGUCAGGGGUAGCUCUCCCCUCUCUACCCUCAGGGGUGGUGGAGUGGCCAGAAGCGCAGGUGCCUCUGGCUGAGGCAGGGGGGCUGCGUUCGUAGGGAGCUGGGAAGGACAGUCUGUUCUCCCAGAUCCCACAGUCCCUGGCAUCCUUUUCCUCCCCACCAGCCCUCAGCCCUGCAUAGUUUGGAGCGACCUUUCCUUUAUCUCAGGCCCCCUCCUUGGCCUUGCCAGAGGGGUCGGGCUCCUGUUUUCCCCAGAGGCACUGAGCGAGGUCUUGUUCCCCAGCUGCGUGGUGGCGAGAGAAGCCCUGGCCCUCCGGCUGGCUCAGGGUUGGACUGGGCUUGCUCUGCCUGCUGCCCCAGGGCUGCAGGGAGCCAAGUCAUGGAGAAGCCUGCCUGGGGCAGAGCUGGGGC